AAAGUACCACAAGACUUCGGUUGCGUGGAUAUGGAUGUAAUAGCUCCCAAGAAAACCUGCUAAGCUUCAGGAUAUAACUAACCGUACCGUAAACGGACACACGUAGUUGGGUUGAGUAUACUAAGGCGCUCGAGAGAUUCAUGGCUAAGGAACUAGGCAAAAUCGCCUCGUAACUUCGGGAGAAGAGGCGCCUCCAGAGAUGGAGGCCGCAGUGAAAAGGCCCAGGCGACUGUUUAGCAAAAACACAGGGCUAUGCUAAGUUGAAAGACGAUGUAUAUGGCCUGACACCUGCCCGGUGCCGGAAGGUUAAGUGGGGAUGUUAUUCGUAAGGAGAAGCAUUGAAAUGAAGCCCCGGUAAACGGCGGCCGUAACAAUAACGGUCCUAAGGUAGCGAAAUUCCUUGUCGGGUAAGUUCCGACCUGCACGAAUGGUGUAACGAUCUGGGCACUGUCUCAGCCAUGAGCUCGGUGAAAUUGUAGUUCCGGUGAAGAUGCCGGAUACCCGCAACGGGACGGAAAGACCCCGUGAACCUUUACUGCAGCUUCACAUUGAUUUUGGGUAAGUAAUGUGUAGGAUAGGCCGGAGACAAUGAAGGAGCAUCGCCAGGUGUUUUGGAGUCGUCCUUGAAAUACGGCCCUUUGCUUAUCUGAAACCUAAUCCCUGUUAAGGGAGACAGUGUGUGGUGGGUAGUUUGACUGGGGUGGUCGCCUCCAAAAGAGUAACGGAGGCUUCCCAAGGUACCCUCAGGACGUUUGGUAAUCGUCCAUAGAGUGCAAUGGCACAAGGGUGCUUGACUGUGAGACUGACAAGUCGACCAGGUACGAAAGUAGGGCAUAGUGAUCCGGUGGUUCCGUAUGGAAGGGCCAUCGCUCAAAGGAUAAAAGGUACUCCGGGGAUAACAGGCUGAUCGCUCCCAAGAGCUCAUAUCGACGGAGCGGUUUGGCACCUCGAUGUCGGCUCGUCACAUCCUGGGGCUGGAGAAGGUCCCAAGGGUUGGGCUGUUCGCCCAUUAAAGUGGCACGCGAGCUGGGUUCAGAACGUCGUGAGACAGUUCGGUCCCUAUCUGUUGUGGGCGUAGGAAAUUUGAGAGGACCUGACACUAGUACGAGAGGACCGUGUUGGACGUACCGCUGGUGUGCCAGUUGUUCCGCCAGGAGCAUUGCUGGGUAGCUACGUACGGCAAGGAUAAGUGCUGAAAGCAUCUAAGCACGAAGCCCACCUCAAGAAUAGAUUUCCAUGAGGGUC
RNAcentral lists this ribosomal RNA (1245 nucleotides) under metagenome. RNAcentral's name for it is "bacterial LSU rRNA". It matches the Rfam family "Bacterial large subunit ribosomal RNA", at positions 1559 to 2823 of the family's 2925-position model. The record is from RNAcentral.